This 630-nucleotide long non-coding RNA is filed under the name Homo sapiens (human). Its description in RNAcentral is "long non-coding RNA NONHSAT113153.2". The record is from RNAcentral. Lineage: Eukaryota; Metazoa; Chordata; Mammalia; Primates; Hominidae.
UAUUACAUAGGUACAUAAGAUUCUUUCCUGAUGGCCAUGUGAUGAUGUUGACAACCCCUGAAGAGCCUCAGUCCAUUGUUCCACGUUUAAGAACUAGGAAUACCAGGACUGAUGCAAUUCUACUGGGUCACUAUCGCUUGUCACAAGACACAGACAAUCAGACCAAAGUAUUUGCUGUAAUAACUAAGAAAAAAGAAGAAAAACCACUUGACUAUAAAUACAGAUAUUUUCGUCGUGUCCCUGUACAAGAAGCAGAUCAGAGUUUUCAUGUGGGGCUACAGCUAUGUUCCAGUGGUCACCAGAGGUUCAACAAACUCAUCUGGAUACAUCAUUCUUGUCACAUUACUUACAAAUCAACUGGUGAGACUGCAGUCAGUGCUUUUGAGAUUGACAAGAUGUACACCCCCUUGUUCUUCGCCAGAAUUUAUGAGCAGAUUUCUGUCACAUAAGUCGUCUUCUGCUUGAGUAUCCUAAUAUUUCAAUGCAUCAGGGGAGCGCUCCACUGGAUAAGCAUUUUAUUUCCCGCAUGGCAUAAUGUUUUUGCACUAAAGGCUCAAAGUGUGAGAACCUGUUCUGGAUUUGUUUGAAAUUAUUUCACCAAUAAAGAUCAUAAAUAAAUGUUUCUUUCAA